GGAAACAUUUUGAUCCAGGAGCCUGGAUUUAAAGGGACUCAGUGUUUCACCACUUUUUCAGUUUUCUGGGAGUUUGUUCCAGAUCUGUGGUGCAUAGACGCUGAAUGCUGCUU
This is a long non-coding RNA of Xiphophorus hellerii (green swordtail), 113 nucleotides long. RefSeq lists it as uncharacterized. Lineage: Eukaryota; Metazoa; Chordata; Actinopteri; Cyprinodontiformes; Poeciliidae. The record is from RefSeq and is a predicted model, not a curated record. The transcript has 3 exons.